Molecule: ribosomal RNA, 460 nt
Filed under: uncultured eukaryote
Lineage: Eukaryota
Description: eukaryotic LSU rRNA
Rfam family: Eukaryotic large subunit ribosomal RNA
Source: RNAcentral
AUUCUCAGUAUCAAUAAAAACCUUGAAAGAGUGUCCUUGCGAUCCUUUAGUGAUGUUUCAUUAUUAAAAUUGUCUUUUACUAGAGGUGUCAGAAAAGUUACCACAGGGAUAACUGGCUUGUAGCUGUAGAGAGUUCAUAUCGACAUAGCUUUUUGAUUCUUCGAUGUCGGCUCUUCCUAUUCUUAAGUUGCAGAAGACUUAACGGAUGUGAUUGUUCACCACUCAAAAGGGACGUGAGCUGGGUUUAGACCGUUGCGAAACAGGUUAGUUUUAUCCUACUGUUCUUAAAUUAUAUUGGCAUUUUGAAUUUCGAAUGAUUUCGUCAUCAUUGUUCACUUGCAAAGAUCGAAUCUCUGAAGAGCAAUUUUGGGUUAUACGAGAGGAACACCCCAAUUCACGCUUCUGAUAAUGCUUUGCGUCGACCGACGCGAGAAGCAAAGUUACGCGUGCCACGAUAAAA